This 851-nucleotide ribosomal RNA is filed under the name uncultured organism. Its description in RNAcentral is "bacterial SSU rRNA". It matches the Rfam family "Bacterial small subunit ribosomal RNA", at positions 61 to 910 of the family's 1533-position model. The record is from RNAcentral.
GUCGAACGAAGCUUGAUUUAUGAUUUCUUCGGAAUGAAUAAUGAUAUGACUGAGUGGCGGACGGGUGAGUAACGCGUGAGCAACCUGCCCUUCGGAGGGGGAUAGCGUCUGGAAACGGACGGUAAUACCGCAUAAAGUGUCUUGACCGCAUGAUCGAGAUACCAAAACUGAGGUGCCGAAGGAUGGGCUCGCGUUGGAUUAGAUAGUUGGUGGGGUAACGGCCUACCAAGUCGACGAUCCAUAGCCGGACUGAGAGGUUGAACGGCCACAUUGGGACUGAGACACGGCCCAGACUCCUACGGGAGGCAGCAGUGGGGAAUAUUGCACAAUGGGGGAAACCCUGAUGCAGCAACGCCGCGUGAAGGAAGACGGUUUUCGGAUUGUAAACUUCUGUUCUUAGUGAAGAAUAAUGACGGUAGCUAAGGAGCAAGCCACGGCUAACUACGUGCCAGCAGCCGCGGUAAUACGUAGGUGGCAAGCGUUGUCCGGAAUUACUGGGUGUAAAGGGAGCGCAGGCGGGAAGCCAAGUCAGCUGUGAAAACUACAGGCUUAACUUGUAGACUGCAGUUGAAACUGGUUUUCUUGAGUGAAGUAGAGGUUGGCGGAAUUCCGAGUGUAGCGGUGAAAUGCGUAGAUAUUCGGAGGAACACCGGUGGCGAAGGCGGCCAACUGGGCUUUAACUGACGCUGAGGCUCGAAAGUGUGGGGAGCAAACAGGAUUAGAUACCCUGGUAGUCCACACUGUAAACGAUGAUCGCUAGGUGUGGGGGGUCUGACCCCUUCCGUGCCGCAGCUAACGCAAUAAGCAAUCCACCUGGGGAGUACGACCGCAAGGUUGCAACUCAAAUGAAU